This 396-nucleotide ribosomal RNA is filed under the name uncultured bacterium. Its description in RNAcentral is "partial 16S ribosomal RNA". It matches the Rfam family "Bacterial small subunit ribosomal RNA", at positions 523 to 918 of the family's 1533-position model. The record is from RNAcentral.
AUACGUAGGUGGCGAGCGUUGUCCGGAUUUACUGGGUGUAAAGGGCGCGUAGGCGGGGAAGCAAGUCAGAUGUGAAAUCCAUGGGCUUAACCCAUGAACUGCAUUUGAAACUGUUUCUCUUGAGUGUCGGAGAGGUAGAUGGAAUUCCUAUGGUAGCGGUGAAAGGCGUAGAUAUUAGGAGGAACACCGGUGGCGAAGGCGGCUUACUGGACUGUAACUGACGUUGAGGCUCGAAAGCGUGGGGAGCAAACAGGAUUAGAUACCCUGGUAGUCCACGCUGUAAACGAUGAAUACUAGGUGUGGGGGGACUGACCCCCUCCGUGCCGCAGUUAGCACAAUAAGUAUUCCACCUGGGGAGUACGAUCGCAAGAUUGAAACUCAAAUGAAUUGGCGGGG